GGAAACGUACGUCGGCGCCUCCGGGUGCGGCGACUUCUUAGUGGCAGUGGCUGUGGCUGUGGCUGGGGUUGGUCCGAAGCGUGGUGCUCUUCCCUGGUGUCUUUCCGCUUAUCUCUUUCCUCCCUGGGCUCUCCGGCGCGAGGGACCAUCAUCACUGCCCCGAGGGAGGUUGUCCGCGCUGCCAGGCGCUGGGCAGCGGGCUCUCCGGGUGGCCGGGCGGGCGGCGCGGAGACGUCGGCGGGCCCGGUGUCUGCCUUGAGCGCCCGCGGUCCUAGCCUGCCUGUGCGCGCAGGUCACUGUCGAAUGGCACCAUUGUUGUGCAGAUGCUGAUGCCCAGUGUUGAGCCUGUCGUCUCCUACCUUAGGGGAAGUUCCCCUGGCCCUUCCCAACUACCUCCCCUGUGCAAGUUUAUUACAACUGAACGGCUUCAAGAAUGGAGUCUGUCUCUGUUGCCCAAGCUGGAGUGUGUUGGCACCAUCUUGGUUUACUGCAACUUCCACCUCCCAGGCUCAAGUGAUUCUCGUGCCUCAGCCUCAAGGGUAAGCUGAGAUUACAGGCUGGAGUGCAGUGGCAUGAUCUCACCUCACUGAAAACCUCCACCUCCAGGGUUCAAGUGAUUCUGCUACCUCAGCCUCCCAAAUAGCUGGGACUAUAGGCAUUUUCCCUACAUUUUCAAAGGCCUGCAUCAUCACACCUGCCGCAGCUUUCUCUA
This 712-nucleotide non-coding RNA is filed under the name Pongo abelii (Sumatran orangutan). The record is from RNAcentral. Lineage: Eukaryota; Metazoa; Chordata; Mammalia; Primates; Hominidae.